RNAcentral lists this long non-coding RNA (1507 nucleotides) under Equus caballus (horse). RNAcentral's name for it is "lncRNA (ENSECAG00000051171.1)". The record is from RNAcentral. Lineage: Eukaryota; Metazoa; Chordata; Mammalia; Perissodactyla; Equidae.
GAAAGUUUGGUCCUCGCUUCCCAGAAGUCAUCUGUAAGGCAGUCGCAGGAAUAAGCACAAACUAGAAGAGGCUCACUAAUCCCAAGAACAAUGAAAAGUAUCUGGGGAGGUCAAGGCUGACUGUAAUUCAGACUCAGUCUAAGAGAAAGAUAAUCUAGGGUAACAGGUAUUUGGACAGUACUCAGAUUAAGAAAUUCAAAGAGGUAUCCGAUGCCCUAUUUAUUUUGGGAACUGUUCUCUGAACGUAAUUCUGUGACUAAAUGAGAGCGGCUUCUCUCCCGGACCUGGUGGCCCCAGCCUGCCCCCUCCCCACCCACACCCUGUGUUCCUGUGGCUCUUUGGAAAGAGAGCACAGGCUCAGGAUGGAAGAAUUUCGUUUUUGAGUUAAAUAAGUCCACUCGAAGUUCCAGAGGAGGGGCCUGGCAGAGACCGCGUUCUGAUCAUAGGGGCGUGGGCGAGGAAAACUCUGAUAAGCUCCACGGUGAAGGGGUGAAGGAAUCGGCAGUGGGAGAGCAGAGCGCCAAGGCAAAGGGAACGUUCACUUCACACCCGGGCAGCCCUCCUGUCGGGAGAUUCUGAGACAACGGAACAGACAGACAAUGGGAUUGAGGCCACCUCCGCCCGGAACCACCCUGGACAGCGCCCUUUAGGAAACAAUUGGAGGUGGAGCCGUGAGCCUGGGAACCACAGGAGACUGGACGGCGGCUACAGAGGGACUCUGUGCCUUCGGGGACAACGGCAUGCUCCUGUGAAGUCUCCUGACGACCCUGCCUCCAUUUCUGGCCUGGGGAGGGAGUUUUCAAGACAACACCGGCCCAUGGCAGGAGAAUGAGGGUGCUGUGGGCAGGCCUGGGCCAGGCCGGCCUCCCUGCACCCCACUGUGUGGGCAGCCACAUCCACAACUGGGCCAAGGCCCAGCUGCCUGAGGGGCACAGGACUUAGGAACCGGACCACAGGGGAAGUUCUCCCUCCAUGUCAGCCAUUUACAGCACAGCACCAUGUGCAUAGCCUUCUGACAGCGCCUUCUCUACUCCCCGCACCGUGGUAAAGAACAGAUACCCAUCCCCUCCCCUGGGAGGAAAAGCCAACACAGACACCUGUCGAAACUUCUCCCACCCUCCAGAGGUAAAACCCUCAGGUUAAAAUGAAAGACACAUCUCACCCCCUCCAAGAAGUCUGUUCAGAUUGCUCCAAUCAGACUGUAUCUUUCCUCUCUUUGCUUUCUAAAACUCAUGGAGGGCAAAGACCAUUCAUCAACAAAUAUGUGUUAUCAUCUUCUAGGAGCCAGGCCUGAGCUGGGGAUACAGCAAUGAGCAAAGACCACCCUGACUUCCCUCAGGACACUGGCCAUCUGAUUUUUCUUCCUAGGUCCGCUCCUCUCACCCAGCCCAGCUCAUACAGUGCCCAGGCAUACAAAAGCCCUCAAAUGUCCCUUUGAGAGCUCCCUAAGCCUCCCCAGAACCUUGACACUGUUCCUCUGGGUCAUCCCAAGCACGGAGAAAGAGAA